RNAcentral lists this ribosomal RNA (1143 nucleotides) under uncultured bacterium. Its description in RNAcentral is "bacterial SSU rRNA". It matches the Rfam family "Bacterial small subunit ribosomal RNA", at positions 8 to 1219 of the family's 1533-position model. The record is from RNAcentral.
AAAGUUUGAUCCUGGCUCARGRKWMAYAUUGGCGGCGUGCAUGASACAUGCAAGUCGAACGGACGAUCGGGGCUUGCUCCGAUCGUUAGUGGCGGACGGCUGAGUAACGCGUGGGUGACCUGCCCCGAAGUGGGGGAUAACGGCCCGAAAGGGUUGCUAAUACCGCAUGUGGCGAUGUGUUCGGUCACAUCAUCAAAGCCGKAAGGCGCUUCGGGAGGGGCCUGCGUCCGAUUAGCUCGUUGGUGGGGUAACGGCUCACCAAGGCGACGAUCGGUAGGUGGUCUGAGAGGACGAUCACCCAGACUGGGACUGAGACACGGCCCAGACUCCUACGGGAGGCAGCAGUCGGGAAUUUUGCUCAAUGGGGGAAACCCUGAAGCAGCAACGCCGCGUGAGGGAUGACGGCCUUCGGGUUGUAAACCUCUUUUCUCAGGGACGAUGAUGACGGUACCUGAGGAAUAAGCCACGGCUAACUACGUGCCAGCAGCCGCGGUAAUACGUAGGUGGCAAGCGUUGUCCGGAUUUACUGGGCGUAAAGAGCGCGCAGGCGGUCGUGCAAGUCGAGUGUGAAAGCCCCCGGCUCAACUGGGGAGGGUCACUCGAUACUGCUCGACUCGAAGGCGGGAGAGGGAAGUGGAAUUCCCGGUGUAGUGGUGAAAUGCGUAGAUAUCGGGAGGAACACCAGUGGCGAAGGCGACUUCCUGGCCCGUUCUUGACGCUGAGGCGCGAAAGCUAGGGGAGCAAACGGGAUUAGAUACCYCGGUAGUCCUAGCCGUAAACGAUGGACACUAGGUGUUGGUGGUAUCAACCCCGCCAGUGCCGAAGCUAACGCAUUAAGUGUCCCGCCUGGGGAGUACGGCCGCAAGGCUAAAACUCAAGGAAUUGAUGGGGCYCGCACAGCAGCGGAGCGKGGGUUUAAUUCGACGCACGCGAGAUCUUACAGGACUGACAUGACAGAUCGCGGCGGAAACGUCGCUUCCCCGCAAGGGCUGACCAMAGGUGAUGCAUGACUGWCGUCAGCCUCUGUCUGAAAUGUUGGUCAGUCCGCWACGRGSCUAUCCUGCCUGGGGUGAUCACUCACGGACUGCCAAGAACUCGGAGCAGUGGUGUACUUCAGUCACAAWGACCUACGUYCUGGCUAUC